Molecule: ribosomal RNA, 468 nt
Filed under: uncultured Alphaproteobacteria bacterium
Lineage: Bacteria; Pseudomonadati; Pseudomonadota; Alphaproteobacteria
Also listed under: 1 other name
Description: bacterial SSU rRNA
Rfam family: Bacterial small subunit ribosomal RNA
Source: RNAcentral
GAGUUUGAUCGUGGCUCAGAACGAACGCUGGCGGCAUGCCUAACACAUGCAAGUCGAACGAGACCUUCGGGUCUAGUGGCGCACGGGUGCGUAACGCGUGGGAAUCUGCCCUUGGGUUCGGAAUAACAGUUAGAAAUGACUGCUAAUACCGGAUGAUGUCUUCGGACCAAAGAUUUAUCGCCCAGGGAUGAGCCCGCGUCGGAUUAGCUAGUUGGUGAGGUAAAGGCUCACCAAGGCGACGAUCCGUAGCUGGUCUGGGAGGAUGAUCAGCCACACUGGGACUGAGACACGGCCCAGACUCCUACGGGAGGCAGCAGUGGGGAAUAUUGGACAAUGGGCGAAAGCCUGAUCCAGCAAUGCCGCGUGAGUGAUGAAGGCCUUAGGGUUGUAAAGCUCUUUUACCCGGGAUGAUAAUGACAGUACCGGAGAAUAAGCCCCGGCUAACUCCGUGCCAGCAGCCGCGGUAAG